GGAAGGAUCAUUAACGAGCAUACAAAAUGAUUGUGACUAUUUAGAGAUUAUUCCUCGAUCUAAACAGUCUGUAUCUCUAGUAGAUCUGUACUGUGGAGUAACUUCUUGUGAGUCUGAACGCGAUUCCGGGUGCUUAAGCAGGAGUGAGUCCUUUGCGAUCGGGUUUUCGCGUCCUAUCGCACAGUUGGUCCACACACUGACACGCUCACAUUCAGUUGAGUAGGCUUAAAGAGACGUCAGUAUUAGGCGCCGCCCGGUUUUACAUUCUUUUAACCAUGAAAAUAUUGAAACCGAUUAUAUAUAUGAAUCGGUAGAAAACGUACUAUUCUAAGCGGUGAAUCACUAGGCUCGUGGGUCGAUGAAAAACGCAGCCAGCUGCGAGACUUAAUGCGAAUUGCAGACACAUUGAGCAUCGACAUUUUGAACGCAUAUUGCGGCGUUGGGUUUCAUUCCUAACGCUACAACUGUCUGAGGGUUGUUUGAGCGAAGCUUAAAACCAUCUUUUUGAAGAUAUAUGGUUGAUAUUGGUGAUUGAAUGAAACAUCUUUCACUGGAAUAGACUUGUAGUUGCCUCGUAUUCAAUUGGCAAAUACAUUUCAAUCGGUGUAAAAACCCAUAAAAGCAAUUUCUUGGGAUUUUUGAACACUUUUCUUAAUCAGCUCAACCUCAGAUCAGUUGUGAUUACCCGCCGAAUUAAAGCAUUUCAUUAGGCGGAGGAAAAGAAACGAACAAGGAUUCCCCUAGUAACGGCGAGUGAAUGGGGAAGAGCCCAGCACUGAAUCCCUCGGCGUGACUGCUGUUGGGAAAUGUAGUGUGAAGGAGGGUCGAUCCGGGACGGAAUCAUUUAUACAAGUCCCCUUGACAGGGGCCACAGCCCAAAGAAGGUGCAAGGCCAGUGUUAUAAAUGUCCGUAUCGGUAUGACUUUCUAUGGAGUCGGGUUGCUUGAGAGUGCAGCCCAAAGCGGGUGGUAAACCUCACCUAAGGCUAAAUAAAACCACGAGACCGAUAGCAAACAAGUACUGUGAAGGAAAGUUGCAAAGAACUUUGAAGAGAGAGUUCAAGAGGGCGUGAAACCGCUCAGAAGCAAACGGAUGGAGCUGAAGAGAAUUGAGCAGGAUUUCAACCGCAUUCGUGUUUCCCGAUUACCGGCAUUUCGAUCUUCUAACGACGGAUAGUUGGUGUCGUGGAGCUCGGGCGGAUCACUUCCUGCUCAUGUUCAUCGAGGCUUGUGAUGACGCUGAAAGUAGGGUUACAAUUGCCGACCAUAACCUGGUGUUGUGGUGUCCCGUUGCGACUUGAAAUCGAGACGUUGUUACUUGUUAAUCACGGAUGCUUACCAUAAGGCUCGGUAGCGGGACUGUGUAGAUGAUUGAAAUGCUGUUUUGUACUUGUAGAACUCGGCGACGCUUGUUUGCACAGUAUAUACUCGUAAUCCGAAUAGCAUUCAACCUCGGUGUCCAUUCAGCCACCCAUCCGACCCGUCUUGAAACACGGACCAAGGAGUCUAACAUGUGCGCGAGUUGUUGGGCAGUAAAAACCCAAAAGCGUAAUGAAGGUGAAGGUCGGCUCGAUUCGACUGAAAUGGUAUCCUUAAUUUCGAUUAAGGAGCACCAUAGUCCCGUCUCGUCUGCUCGCCAGAGAGGCGGAGACAGAGCGUACACGUUGGGACCCGAAAGAUGGUGAACUAUGCCUGAGCAGGAGGAAGCCAGAGGAAACUCUGGUGGAAGUCCAUAGCGGUUCUGACGUGCAAAUCGAUCGUUAGACUUGGGUAUAGGGGCGAAAGACUAAUCGAACCAUCUAGUAGCUGGUUCCCUC
Molecule: unclassified non-coding RNA, 1816 nt
Filed under: uncultured fungus
Lineage: Eukaryota; Fungi
Description: sequence contains 18S rRNA gene, ITS1, 5.8S rRNA gene, ITS2, 28S rRNA gene
Rfam family: Eukaryotic large subunit ribosomal RNA (bases 662-1816)
Source: RNAcentral